CCCGCUACUGACCACCCUUGUCUACCUUAACCACUGUUGCUUCGGCAGGCCGGGCCGCCCCCGCGAGGGGGUGGCACACCUGAGGCCCAGGCUUAACCGCCGCUCAGGGCAGCGCCUGCCGGAGGAUUAGUUGAAACUCUUUGCUGAUUAGUGACAAUUCUGAGUCUUUGAUCAAUAGUCAAAACUUUCAACAACGGAUCUCUUGGUUCCAGCAUCGAUGAAGAAACGCAGCAA
RNAcentral lists this unclassified non-coding RNA (234 nucleotides) under Gymnascella dankaliensis. RNAcentral describes it as "Gymnoascus dankaliensis sequence contains ITS1". The stretch from base 183 to 234 matches the Rfam family "5.8S ribosomal RNA", at positions 1 to 51 of the family's 154-position model. The record is from RNAcentral. Lineage: Eukaryota; Fungi; Ascomycota; Eurotiomycetes; Onygenales; Gymnoascaceae.